RNAcentral lists this long non-coding RNA (372 nucleotides) under Rattus norvegicus (Norway rat). RNAcentral describes it as "long non-coding RNA NONRATT020271". Lineage: Eukaryota; Metazoa; Chordata; Mammalia; Rodentia; Muridae. The record is from RNAcentral.
AAUUUCAGAGGUUUAUCUGUCCAUUAUCAUCAUGGCAGGAAGUACAGCAGCAUAGAGGCCACCAUGGUUCUGGAGAUAGAGCUGCGAGUUCUACAUCUUGAUCAGCAAGCAGCAGAAGGGGACUCUGAUAAAACAAUGAGCAGAGCCUGGGCAGAGGAGACCUCAAAAUCUCCCCCCACAGUGACACAUUUCCUUCUACAAGGCCACAGCUACUCCAACAAGGUUGUGCCUUCUAAUAGUACCAUUCCCUGUGGAUCAAGCAUUCAAACACAUGAGUCUAUGGGGGCCAAACCUAUUCAAACCACCAUGGUAAUCAUUUAUAGAAACUCAAGAAUUAGAAUAUAAUAUUCUUUAUAUCCAAAAAAAGGAAAA